Molecule: ribosomal RNA, 498 nt
Filed under: uncultured bacterium
Lineage: Bacteria
Description: partial 16S ribosomal RNA
Rfam family: Bacterial small subunit ribosomal RNA
Source: RNAcentral
AGCGAACGCUGGCGGCGUGCCUAACACAUGCAAGUCGAACGUGAAAAGGGAAACCUGGGUAAAGUGGCGUACGGGUGAGUAACGCGUAGGUCAUCUACCCCAGAAUCUGGAAUAACCUGCCGAAAGGCGGGCUAAUACUGGAUAGAGCGAGGGAACUCGUAAGAGAGUUUUUCGGGAAAGGGAGCCCGCAAGGGCCUUCGUUCUGGGAUGAGCCUGCGUCUCAUUAGCUAGUUGGUAAGGUAACGGCUUACCAAGGCGAUGAUGAGUAGCUGGUCUGAGAGGAUGAUCAGCCACACUGGAACUGAAACACGGUCCAGACUCCUACGGGAGGCAGCAGUGGGGAAUCUUGCGCAAUGGACGAAAGUCUGACGCAGCCACGCCGCGUGAGUGAAGAAGGCCUUCGGGUUGUAAAGCUCUGUCGGAUGGGACGAACAUCUUCAUAGGGAAUAGGUAUGAGGACUGACGGUACCAUCAAAGGAAGCAACGGCUAACUCCGUG